AGGCACACUCGACGUAUCAAGCUGGCCAUAGAGUGUGCUUCAUGACACGUCAAGAAAGUUCUCACGUGGUUCUCUCGGUGAUGUACGUCAUCGAAUAAAUCUCGAGUGGUGACCAAGAUGCUGUAUUGGCGCAACGUACAUUACUUCGGGCUUUCUGUGGUUAGCGAGUUAGUCAACCAACAACGCUGAGAAAUAUCAAGAUUUAGUUCAUGUCGUCAUCCAUACUCUAUCCCCGGGCGUGAGAACCUCCCGGGCGGGCGACGCGAGCAUCCUUGGUUACGUAAUGGGUCGCUGUCUUGGUUCACCGCAGGAGGUGAUGUCACGCGCGGCGCGGAUGGUGAACGAGGCUUUAGAAACGUGGGAUGGUGUAGCUAGGGUGGCCGGAGAACGUGCAACACCUGGAGGAUUUUUUCGUUUCCGAGUGAUAAUGUUUGUGGUGUUGUCUGAAUGAGCGUACAAACAGCGUCUUGAGUGGGCGGCGCCGUGUCCCUCGGCGAUGCGGGGGAAGAGUGAAGGUCUUGGCUGAGGCAUCCAGGAAGUUAUCUUAAGGUAGUGGGUACUCGAGGCGGGAGAAAACGGGAAUUUGCUACGAGAGACCGAACGCUGCCGCUGCACACGAGCGUCCUUCAGAAACACCGGAACAGGAUAUCCGAUGAACGUGGACGAGCCAGUGUAAGCGGCGUUACUCCAAUAGAGCGAAGGUGGAAGGGACCUGCGCGGAGAACCUCCUCUUUUCUAACCUUGUCUUGCCAACGAAUGUCUAGAACAUGUCGAAGGCAGCGCAUGUGGUACACAUUUACUUGUCUCUGAUGUAAGCAUGGUCCAGAAGUGUGCAUAAGAUACAUACACUGUAGACUGAACAUUUUGUGUGAGAUAUUAGUUUUUAUUUUGCCACUUUCAGAGCCACUCUACCGACAAUGAAUACAGCACGUCCUAUCCUGUGGCUGAUUUCACAAGAUUCAGUUCAUUUGCCACGGUAGAGUCUAGGUAUGUGAAGUUGGAUUCGGCAUCAAGCUUGUAACUGUUAAUGGCAAAUGAGGUUGACCUUGGCUCAUAACAUUCGUCUUCGUCAAGUUAACAAUAAGGUUUAAGUCACUGCAGCCUUUGGCAAACGAAUCCAACAUGUGCUGCAAUUGUGGCUGGGAUUAUGCAACAAGUGCAGCAUUGUCAGCAAAAAUGUCUCUCACACUGAUGUGCCUCACCCUGGUUUUCGCUUUUAGACGAGAGAGGUUGAACAGGUCAUCAUUAGAUCUAGUCCAUAGACAGAUUCCAUCUGUUGAGUUGCCAAAAGCACCUCUAAGCAUAUCAGCAAAGAAGAUGCCAAAGAGAAUUGGUGCGAGGACACAUCCCUGCGUUACUCCACAGAGAAUGUCAAAACUUUAUCGACAAAGUACCACUGAACUACGCCUUGUACUGAACUAAGCCUAGCAUACAUAUGAUAAAUGAUCUUGUCAAGCUCAGGAGCUUGGACAAACAAUUUUUUGUAGAAUUUGAAAUAAUCCGUCUUGGCUCACAAUGUCGAAUGCCUCUGUAAGGCACUCCACUUCUCCUGAAGGAGAAAAUCAUGUCAAUGGCUGACCGUUCUUUCAGAAACCGCACUGAGAUACUGGGUAAAUCGGCUCAGGAAGCGCACAAGUAGCACACGGGCAAAUGUCUUGCCAACAUAACUCAAGAGACUAAUGCCUCAGGAAUUAUUGCAGUCGUCUUUGCUUUUAUAAAGGGUAAUGAUGUUGCAGUCGUGCAGCUCUUGAGGCACUGCUCCCUCCUGCUAAUACUGACAAAGAAGCUGGUGGAAUGAUCUGAGGAUGGUCAGUUUUGCACGCUUGAUGGUCUCUGGGGGAAUCCCAUCCAAUUCUAGUGUUUUCCACGAGGAAACAUGUCAAUAGCAAUAAUAAGUUCUUCCAUGAUAAGGAUGCUGUCAAGUUCCUCCAUGACUGGAAAAUCCUCGAAACCCAGAGCAAUGUCAGAGAUGUGACAUUCCAUGGAGUACAAUUCAGAGUAGUGCUACACCCACAUCUCUAGUUGGUCUCUAUCCGUGAGUAAGAUACCAUAUUUAGAUUUCAGAGGCGCUGGCCUUUGAUACUUACAAUGAUGCCUGAGUGUGUAAUGAAAGUAUCUAUCAGCACAUAUGCAGAAAUAUCUGGUUAUAAUAAACCUGUGAUGAGGAUUUUACAUUAAAUGCA
Molecule: long non-coding RNA, 2183 nt
Organism: Penaeus chinensis
Lineage: Eukaryota; Metazoa; Arthropoda; Malacostraca; Decapoda; Penaeidae
Exons: 5
Source: RefSeq, a predicted model, not a curated record